GUCUACGGGCAUGUCACCCUGAAUGCGCCCCAUCUCGUCUGAUCUCAGAAGCUAAGCAGGGUCGGGCCUGGUUAGUACUUGGAUGGGAGACACAACCCUUGCCUUGGGGUGA
This 112-nucleotide ribosomal RNA is filed under the name Propithecus coquereli (Coquerel's sifaka). Lineage: Eukaryota; Metazoa; Chordata; Mammalia; Primates; Indriidae. The record is from RNAcentral.